This is a small nuclear RNA of Vulpes vulpes (red fox), 104 nucleotides long. NCBI's taxonomy places the organism in Eukaryota, Metazoa, Chordata, Mammalia, Carnivora, Canidae. The record is from Ensembl.
GUGCUCACUUUGGCAGCACAGACACUGAAAUUGGGAGCGACAGGGAGAUUAGCAUGGCCUGCCACAAGGAUGACAUGCAAAUUCAUGAAACAUUCCAUAUUUUU